RNAcentral lists this ribosomal RNA (440 nucleotides) under uncultured bacterium. Its description in RNAcentral is "partial 16S ribosomal RNA". It matches the Rfam family "Bacterial small subunit ribosomal RNA", at positions 338 to 795 of the family's 1533-position model. The record is from RNAcentral.
CCUACGGGAGGCUGCAGUAGGGAAUAUUGCUCAAUGGGGGAAACCCUGAAGCAGCAACGCCGCGUGGAGGAUGAAGGUUUUCGGAUUGUAAACUCCUUUUGUUAGAGAAGAUAAUGACGGUAUCUAACGAAUAAGCACCGGCUAACUUCUUGCCAGCAGCCGCGGUAAUACGGAGGGUGCAAGCGUUACUCGGAAUCACUGGGCGUAAAGAGCGCGGAGGCGGGAUAGCAAGUCAGAUGUGAAAUCCUAUGGCUUAACCAUAGAACUUCAUUUGAAACUGUUAUUCUAGAGUAUGGAAGAGGUAGGUGGAAUUCUUGGUGUAGGGGUAAAAUGCGUAGAGAUCAAGAGGAAUACUCAUUGCGAAGGCGACCUGCUAGAACAUAACUGACGCUGAUGCGCGAAAGCGUGGGGAGCAAACAGGAUUAGAUACCCGGGUAGUC